RNAcentral lists this unclassified non-coding RNA (333 nucleotides) under soil metagenome. RNAcentral's name for it is "partial contains 5.8S ribosomal RNA, internal transcribed spacer 2, and large subunit ribosomal RNA". The stretch from base 1 to 120 matches the Rfam family "5.8S ribosomal RNA", at positions 35 to 154 of the family's 154-position model. The record is from RNAcentral.
GAUGAAGAACGUAGUGAAAUGCGAUAAGUAAUGUGAAUUGCAGAAUUCAGUGAAUCAUCGAAUCUUUGAACGCACAUUGCGCCCCCCAGUAUUCUGGCGGGCAUGCCUGUUCGAGCGUCAUUUCAACCAUCAAGCCCUGCUUGUGUUGGGGUCCUGCGGCUGCCCGCAGGCCCUGAAAACCAGUGGCGGGCUCGCUAGUCACACCGAGCGCAGUAGCACAUCUCGCUCAGGGCGUGCGGCGGGCUCCAGCCGUUAAAGCACCCACCUUUCGCAAGGUUGACCUCGGAUCAGGUAGGAAUACCCGCUGAACUUAAGCAUAUCAAUAAGCGGGGA